CCUACGUGUGGCAGCAGUGAGGAAUAUUGGUCAAUGGGCGAGAGCCUGAACCAGCCAAGCCGCGUGAAGGAUGACGGAUCUAUGGUUUGUAAACUUCUUUUAUAUGGGGAUAAAGUGAGGAACGUGUUCCUUUCUGUAUGUACCAUAUGAAUAAGCAUCGGCUAACUCCGUGCCAGCAGCCGCGGUAAUACGGAGGAUGCGAGCGUUAUCCGGAUUUAUUGGGUUUAAAGGGUGCGUAGGUGGUUAAUUAAGUCAGCGGUGAAAGGUUGUGGCUCAACCAUAAAAUUGCCGUUGAUACUGGUUGUCUUGAGUAUAUUUGAGGUAGGCGGAAUGCGUGGUGUAGCGGUGAAAUGCAUAGAGAUCACGCAGAACUCCGAUUGCGAAGGCAGCUUACUAAACUAUAACUGACACUGAAGCACGAAAGCGUGGGGAUCAAACAGGAUUAGAUACCCUUGUAGUC
Molecule: ribosomal RNA, 460 nt
Filed under: uncultured bacterium
Lineage: Bacteria
Description: partial 16S ribosomal RNA
Rfam family: Bacterial small subunit ribosomal RNA
Source: RNAcentral